CUUCUGCAAGUCCACAGACUGAAUUUUCUGCAGUGAACGGGGCUACUCUUCGUUAUGGUGCUCAGACUUCUCAUUGUGGUGGCUUUUCUUGUUGCUGAGCAUGGGCUCUAGAUUGUUUGUGCUUUGUGUCUCCCUGCUGCACCGUCUUUGUCAAUGUUACUAGCUGCAUUUCAUAUCCUAUUUUAUAGGACUGUUGUCUUUUUACAAUACCCAAUAUGUAACCAGGCCUCCAACAAAACUUCUAUGGCUAAACAUCUUAAAGAAAUAGAUCACACUUAUAACAUAAAGUAAUUGUAGUGAUGUGAUUCUAGGUAUGGGAAGAAGCAACAAGGGAAAAUGUCUCCUGGAUUAUAAUUAGACAGAGGAUCCAGAGAAUCUUUAAUUAUCAAUAGGGCUUAAUCCAAAAAUUAGCACCUGGAGUGGCAUAUCAAGAGUUUUCACCUGACCUGGGAUGAGUCUCCCAGCACCAUGGGACAAAAUUUGACCAUGAAAUGUCUCCCAAAUAUUGAUCAAAUUCAUGACCAAGAGGAGAGGAUCAGUCAUCAGCGGGCUCAGCCCUCCAACAUGAGCCAGUGAGCCCUGAGCAAACUCAGAAUGUAAAAAUACAGGAUUCAGGCCCCAGACAGCUGUGGUACAUAUGAAAAAAUGAUUUCAGUAAGCCCAGACUCUUGCAUCUUUCCAUACAUAGAAAAAUGCUAAAUUCCUUAACUUGAGAUGCAGCCUCUUGGGCUUGAAGCCCUCAAAAUUCCUGAUAACUCUCAACUUUUAGGUUGUGAAUAUUUUAAAAUCUACGGGUGAAAAGUAGACACGAAGUGGAACAAAAGACAAAUCUCAACAUUUGGAACACUGACACCAAUGGCGGACACUCCUGGAAAGAUCCAUCUGCCGGGACAGAACGUUGUCACCCCUUCUUCCACAAGAUUGUGGACACUGACCAUGGGGAACGGUAACAGGGAAGAGCUAAAUCGGACUCCCUGUUGGAUCUGUUUCUUUGACGUUAACCUUUGCUUUCCAAUGCUUUUUUUUUUUUAAAUUAUUUAUUUAUUUAUUGGCUGCAUUGUCUUUGUUGCUGUGUGCAAGCUUCCUCUAGUGGGGGCUACUCUUUGUUGUAGUGAUCAGGCUUCUCAUUGCAGUAGCUUCUCUUGUUGCGGAGCAUGGGCUCUAGGCGUUCGGGCUUCAGUAGUCGUGGCAUGAGGGCUUCAGUAGUUGUGGCUCACGGGCUCUAGAGCACAGGCUCGGUAGUUGUGGCAUGCAGGCUUAGUCGUUCUGCAGCACGUGGGAUCUUCCUGGACCAGGGCUUGAACCCCAGCCCCCUGCACUGGUAGGCAGAUUCUUAACCAUGUGCCACCAGGGAAGUCCCUCGUUGCUUUUGUUAUUACAGUCAUACAUAAUGGCCUGCCUCAGAGAACGCUGCCCACCUGUGAGUGGCUGCAGAAAAGAAGAAAUUAACACAUCCCUUCCCCAGGCUAGUCAUUUCAGGAGAUGUUUUUGCAAGACUGAUGGCACUUUUACUUUACUUCCUCACCGCCUCUCCCUCUCUAUUCUCCCUCUCUGAUUCUAUUAAAAAAACUGGCCUCCAGACCCCGAUAAGAUGGUUUUGUUUGGAGACACUAGUCUGCCAUCUUCUCAGUCUGCCGGCUUUCCAGAAAGUCCUGUUCCUUGCCUCAGCACCUUGUCUCCGAUUCAUCAGCCUGUCGUGCGGCAAGCAGAGCUAGCUUGGUCUCAGUAAUGUUAGGAUGUUCUCUAUCACUGAGACCAAAUCAGUGACGUUAGGAUGUUCUCCAUCACUGCAUACUUCUACUUUGGAACACAGUUCUCUCUGUUGUCUCAUGGGGGCGCUCCAACAACUCUGUGAAGUGGGCCCAUUUCAUGGGUGGAAAAAGUAAGGCACAGAGUAUUUGGUCAGGGUCACAAAGAAAGUCACUGAAGCAUUACAGAGUAUGAAGUAAACUACUAUAAUAGUAUUGGUAACACACUGAAGCACAAUGAGAAUCCAGUCAUGCUUUCUCUUGCCCUGAUCUCACUAAACCAGGCUUUUAGGGGCUUAUAAGCCAUUUCUUGUUGCCAAGCCUACCACUCUACUCUGUCCUUGCAUAAAUCAGAGCCUAGCCUCUGAUGUGAGGAAUAAUUUAUCUCUGCCCACGUAGAAGACAAAGUUGUUACCCUGAGUGACAGUCAUGACAGAAUAAAACCACGAGACCAGAUCGAAUUUAUGGAUAAAUAUAUUAGCAAAUAAAUACAUUUCUCAACAUAGUGCCUGAUUCA
Long non-coding RNA from Hippopotamus amphibius kiboko, 2265 nucleotides. RefSeq lists it as uncharacterized. The transcript has 3 exons. The record is from RefSeq and is a predicted model, not a curated record. Lineage: Eukaryota; Metazoa; Chordata; Mammalia; Artiodactyla; Hippopotamidae.